UAGGGAAUCUUCGGCAAUGGGGGGAACCCUGACCGAGCAACGCCGCGUGAGUGAAGAAGGUUUUCGGAUCGUAAAGCUCUGUUGUUAAGGAAGAAUGAGUGUGAGAAUGGAAAGUUCAUGCUGUGACGGUACUUAACCAGAAAGGGACGGCUAACUACGUGCCAGCAGCCGCGGUAAUACGUAGGUCCCGAGCGUUGUCCGGAUUUAUUGGGCGUAAAGCGAGCGCAGGCGGUUAGAAAAGUCUGAAGUGAAAGGCAGUGGCUCAACCAUUGUAGGCUUUGGAAACUGUUUAACUUGAGUGCAGAAGGGGAGAGUGGAAUUCCAUGUGUAGCGGUGAAAUGCGUAGAUAUAUGGAGGAACACCGGUGGCGAAAGCGGCUCUCUGGUCUGUAACUGACGCUGAGGCUCGAAAGCGUGGGGGGCGAACAGG
RNAcentral lists this ribosomal RNA (429 nucleotides) under Bacteroidota bacterium. RNAcentral's name for it is "Bacteroidetes bacterium partial 16S ribosomal RNA". It matches the Rfam family "Bacterial small subunit ribosomal RNA", at positions 355 to 776 of the family's 1533-position model. The record is from RNAcentral. Lineage: Bacteria; Pseudomonadati; Bacteroidota.